This 467-nucleotide ribosomal RNA is filed under the name uncultured bacterium. RNAcentral's name for it is "partial 16S ribosomal RNA". It matches the Rfam family "Bacterial small subunit ribosomal RNA", at positions 28 to 507 of the family's 1533-position model. The record is from RNAcentral.
GAUGAACGCUGGCGGCGUGCUUAACACAUGCAAGUCGAACGGAAAGGCCCAAGCUUGCUUGGGUACUCGAGUGGCGAAUGGGUGAGUAACACGUGGGUGAUCUGCCCUGCACUUCGGGAUAAGCCUGGGAAACUGGGUCUAAUACCGGAUAGGACGAUGGUUUGGAUGCCAUUGUGGAAAGUUUUUUCGGUGUGGGAUGAGCUCGCGGCCUAUCGGCUUGUUGGUGGGGUAAUGGCCUACCAGGGCGUCGACGGGUAGCCGGCCUGAGAGGGCGUGCGGCGGCAUGGGGACCUAGGGGCGGCCCAAGCGGGGAAGGGGGGCAGAAGGGGGGAAUCUUGAUCAAGGGGUGCAGGCUUGAUGCAGCAGGCCCGCGGGUGGUAAGACGGUUUUGGGGUGAAAAAACCGUUGCCGGAGGAAAGAAGGGUUUUUGGACGGUACCCAGAGAAAAAGCCCCGGCUAACUUCGUG